This 2922-nucleotide ribosomal RNA is filed under the name Klebsiella pneumoniae. RNAcentral's name for it is "bacterial LSU rRNA". It matches the Rfam family "Bacterial large subunit ribosomal RNA". Lineage: Bacteria; Pseudomonadati; Pseudomonadota; Gammaproteobacteria; Enterobacterales; Enterobacteriaceae. The record is from RNAcentral.
GGGUUGUGAGGUUAAGCGACUAAGCGUACACGGUGGAUGCCCUGGCAGUCAGAGGCGAUGAAGGACGUGCUAAUCUGCGAAAAGCGUCGGUAAGGUGAUAUGAACCGUUAUAGCCGGCGAUGUCCGAAUGGGGAAACCCAGUGCAAUUCGUUGCACUAUCGUUAACUGAAUACAUAGGUUAACGAGGCGAACCGGGGGAACUGAAACAUCUAAGUACCCCGAGGAAAAGAAAUCAACCGAGAUUCCCCCAGUAGCGGCGAGCGAACGGGGAGCAGCCCAGAGUCUGAAUCAGCUUGUGUGUUAGUGGAACGGUCUGGAAAGUCCGACGGUACAGGGUGAUAGUCCCGUACACCAAAAUGCACAGGUUGUGAACUCGAAGAGUAGGGCGGGACACGUGGUAUCCUGUCUGAAUAUGGGGGGACCAUCCUCCAAGGCUAAAUACUCCUGACUGACCGAUAGUGAACCAGUACCGUGAGGGAAAGGCGAAAAGAACCCCGGCGAGGGGAGUGAAAAAGAACCUGAAACCGUGUACGUACAAGCAGUGGGAGCACCUUCGGGUGUGACUGCGUACCUUUUGUAUAAUGGGUCAGCGACUUAUAUUCUGUAGCAAGGUUAACCGUAUAGGGGAGCCGCAGGGAAACCGAGUCUUAACUGGGCGUUAAGUUGCAGGGUAUAGACCCGAAACCCGGUGAUCUAGCCAUGGGCAGGUUGAAGGUUGGGUAACACUAACUGGAGGACCGAACCGACUAAUGUUGAAAAAUUAGCGGAUGACUUGUGGCUGGGGGUGAAAGGCCAAUCAAACCGGGAGAUAGCUGGUUCUCCCCGAAAGCUAUUUAGGUAGCGCCUCGUGAACUCAUCUUCGGGGGUAGAGCACUGUUUCGGCUAGGGGGUCAUCCCGACUUACCAACCCGAUGCAAACUACGAAUACCGAAGAAUGUUAUCACGGGAGACACACGGCGGGUGCUAACGUCCGUCGUGAAGAGGGAAACAACCCAGACCGCCAGCUAAGGUCCCAAAGUCAUGGUUAAGUGGGAAACGAUGUGGGAAGGCACAGACAGCCAGGAUGUUGGCUUAGAAGCAGCCAUCAUUUAAAGAAAGCGUAAUAGCUCACUGGUCGAGUCGGCCUGCGCGGAAGAUGUAACGGGGCUAAACCAUGCACCGAAGCUGCGGCAGCGACACUAUGUGUUGUUGGGUAGGGGAGCGUUCUGUAAGCCUGCGAAGGUGUGCUGUGAGGCAUGCUGGAGGUAUCAGAAGUGCGAAUGCUGACAUAAGUAACGAUAAAGCGGGUGAAAAGCCCGCUCGCCGGAAGACCAAGGGUUCCUGUCCAACGUUAAUCGGGGCAGGGUGAGUCGACCCCUAAGGCGAGGCCGAAAGGCGUAGUCGAUGGGAAACAGGUUAAUAUUCCUGUACUUGGUGUUACUGCGAAGGGGGGACGGAGAAGGCUAUGUUAGCCGGGCGACGGUUGUCCCGGUUUAAGCAUGUAGGCUGGUUAUCCAGGCAAAUCCGGAUAAUCAAGGCUGAGGUGUGAUGACGAGGCACUACGGUGCUGAAGUAACAAAUGCCCUGCUUCCAGGAAAAGCCUCUAAGCAUCAGGUAACAUCAAAUCGUACCCCAAACCGACACAGGUGGUCAGGUAGAGAAUACCAAGGCGCUUGAGAGAACUCGGGUGAAGGAACUAGGCAAAAUGGUGCCGUAACUUCGGGAGAAGGCACGCUGGUGUGUAGGUGAAGUCCCUGCGGAUGGAGCUGAGACCAGUCGAAGAUACCAGCUGGCUGCAACUGUUUAUUAAAAACACAGCACUGUGCAAACACGAAAGUGGACGUAUACGGUGUGACGCCUGCCCGGUGCCGGAAGGUUAAUUGAUGGGGUUAUCCGUAAGGAGAAGCUCUUGAUCGAAGCCCCGGUAAACGGCGGCCGUAACUAUAACGGUCCUAAGGUAGCGAAAUUCCUUGUCGGGUAAGUUCCGACCUGCACGAAUGGCGUAAUGAUGGCCAGGCUGUCUCCACCCGAGACUCAGUGAAAUUGAACUCGCUGUGAAGAUGCAGUGUACCCGCGGCAAGACGGAAAGACCCCGUGAACCUUUACUAUAGCUUGACACUGAACAUUGAGCCUUGAUGUGUAGGAUAGGUGGGAGGCUUUGAAGCGUGGACGCCAGUCUGCGUGGAGCCAACCUUGAAAUACCACCCUUUAAUGUUUGAUGUUCUAACGUUGGCCCCUUACCGGGGUUGCGGACAGUGUCUGGUGGGUAGUUUGACUGGGGCGGUCUCCUCCCAAAGCGUAACGGAGGAGCACGAAGGUUAGCUAAUCCUGGUCGGACAUCAGGAGGUUAGUGCAAUGGCAUAAGCUAGCUUGACUGCGAGCGUGACGGCGCGAGCAGGUGCGAAAGCAGGUCAUAGUGAUCCGGUGGUUCUGAAUGGAAGGGCCAUCGCUCAACGGAUAAAAGGUACUCCGGGGAUAACAGGCUGAUACCGCCCAAGAGUUCAUAUCGACGGCGGUGUUUGGCACCUCGAUGUCGGCUCAUCACAUCCUGGGGCUGAAGUAGGUCCCAAGGGUAUGGCUGUUCGCCAUUUAAAGUGGUACGCGAGCUGGGUUUAGAACGUCGUGAGACAGUUCGGUCCCUAUCUGCCGUGGGCGCUGGAGAAUUGAGGGGGCUGCUCCUAGUACGAGAGGACCGGAGUGGACGCAUCACUGGUGUUCGGGUUGUCAUGCCAAUGGCACUGCCCGGUAGCUAAAUGCGGAAGAGAUAAGUGCUGAAAGCAUCUAAGCACGAAACUUGCCCCGAGAUGAGUUCUCCCUGAGACUUUAAGUCUCCUGAAGGAACGUUAAAGACGAUGACGUUGAUAGGCCGGGUGUGUAAGCGCAGCGAUGCGUUGAGCUAACCGGUACUAAUGAACCGUGAGGCUUAACCUUACAACGCCGAAG